AAUGAACGCUGGCGGCAUGCCUAACACAUGCAAGUCGAACGAGACCUUCGGGUCUAGUGGUGUACGGGAGCGUAAGGCGUGGGAAUGUGCCCUUAGGUUCGGAAUAACUCCCGGAAAGGGGUGCUAAUACCGGCUAAUGUCUCCGGACCAAUGAUUUAUCGCCUUUGGAUGGGCCCGCGUAGGAUUAGCCAGUUGGUAGGGUAAAGGCCUACCAAGGCGACGAUCCAUAGCUGGUCUGGGAGGAGGGUCAGCCACACUGGGAGUGGGACACGGCCCAGACUCCUACGGGGGGGGGCAGAGGGGAAUAUUGGACAAGGGGCGAAAGGCUGAUCCAGCUGUGGCGCGUGAGGGAUGUGGGCCUGAGGGUUGUAGGGCUCUUUUAGCCGGGGUGAUAAUGAGGGUACCGGGAGAAUAAGCGCGGGCUAGCUCCGUG
RNAcentral lists this ribosomal RNA (433 nucleotides) under uncultured bacterium. RNAcentral's name for it is "partial 16S ribosomal RNA". It matches the Rfam family "Bacterial small subunit ribosomal RNA", at positions 28 to 507 of the family's 1533-position model. The record is from RNAcentral.